UUUGAAGCUAGACGACGUCGCGGAUGAGAGAGCAAAGAGACGCAGUAUGCUAGUUGUUGGAGAGAACGAAAAAAUGAAAGAGAAGUCGAGCUUCUCCCUAUUUCGCAUUGCUCCCGCUUUUAAGCCA
Non-coding RNA from Caenorhabditis elegans, 127 nucleotides. Lineage: Eukaryota; Metazoa; Nematoda; Chromadorea; Rhabditida; Rhabditidae. The record is from Ensembl.